GACGAACGCUGGCGGCGUGCUUAACACAUGCAAGUCGAACGGUGAAGCUCCAGCUUGCUGGAGUGGAUCAGUGGCGAACGGGUGAGUAACACGUGAGCAACCUGCCCCUGACUCUGGAAUAAGCGCUGGAAACGGCGUCUAAUACUGGAUACGAGAAGGGUCCGCAUGGGCACUUUCUGGAAAAUUUUUCGGUUGGGGAUGGGCUCGCGGCCUAUCAGCUUGUUGGUGAGGUAAUGGCUCACCAAGGCGACGACGGGUAGCCGGCCUGAGAGGGCGACCGGCCACACUGGGACUGAGACACGGCCCAGACUCCUACGGGAGGCAGCAGUGGGGAAUAUUGCACAAUGGGCGAAAGCCUGAUGCAGCGACGCCGCGUGAGGGAUGACGGCCUUCGGGUUGUAAACCUCUUUCAGCAGGGAAGAAGCGAAAGUGACGGUACCUGCAGAAGAAGCACCGGCUAACUACGUG
RNAcentral lists this ribosomal RNA (468 nucleotides) under uncultured bacterium. RNAcentral describes it as "partial 16S ribosomal RNA". It matches the Rfam family "Bacterial small subunit ribosomal RNA", at positions 28 to 507 of the family's 1533-position model. The record is from RNAcentral.